RNAcentral lists this long non-coding RNA (6507 nucleotides) under Gouania willdenowi (blunt-snouted clingfish). RNAcentral describes it as "lncRNA (ENSGWIG00000004642.1)". Lineage: Eukaryota; Metazoa; Chordata; Actinopteri; Blenniiformes; Gobiesocidae. The record is from RNAcentral.
AAAAAGUAGUAUUUUAUCAUAUUUUGAGGAAAUAUCUUUAAAAAUAAAUGCUUUAAAUGCUUCUGCUGUAUUAUUCUGUGUAACCCGCAGUAACCUAGUAAAUCACCGGAUACCUAGAUACUCCUCUUGAAUAGCUGUGGGAGGAACAAGUCUAAUAACAGUGUUAUGGUAUCACCUAUAAACACAGUGCCUGUACUGGAAGCGGUGAGGAGUAAACACACUCAUAAUGGAUAGAGAAAUAUAUUUUUGGAUACUUUUACUCGGAUACAUUUUUCAACCCUUCAUGAACGUUAUGGCAAACUCGACUACAACAUCGUCAGCAACUUCAACAACAACAACGCCAGAAUCCUUAACUACACCUGAAUCAACUACUACUACUAAUGAGCCAACAACAUUGACUACAACUGUUAUAACUACUACCCCUAAAUUAACUACCACAACACCUGAACAAACUACCACUACUUAUACAACAACUACACCUGAACCAACUACUACUACUAAUGAGCCAACAACAUUGACUACAACUGCUAUAACUAUGACCACUACCAGUGAGCCAACUACUACCCCUGAAAUAACUACCACAACACCUGAAAAAACUACCACUACUUAUACAACAACUACACCUGAACCAACUACUACUACUGAUGAACCAACAACAUUGACUACAACUGUUAUAACUACAACCACUACCAGUGAGCCAACUACUACCCCUGAAAAAACUACCACAACACCUGAUCAAACUACCACUACUUAUACAACAACUACACCUGAACCAACUACUACAACGGAUGAACCAACAACAUUGACUACAACUGUUAUAACUACGACCAUGACCAGUGAGCCAACUACUACCCCUGAAUUAACUACCACUACUGAAAUAACAUCAACUACUACUGCACAAACUACAACACCCGAACAAACUACAUCCACUACCAUGGUGCCAACAACUACUUCACCUGAACCAACUACUACUACCAGUGAGCCAACUACUACCCCUGAAAUAACUACCACAACACCUGAACAAACUACCACUACUUAUACAACAACUACACCUGAACCAACUACUACUACUGAUGAACCAACAACAUUGACUACAACUGUUAUAACUACAACCACUACCAGUGAGCCAACUACUACCCCUGAAAAAACUACCAUAACACCUGAUCAAACUACCACUACUUAUACAACAACUACACCUGAACCAACUACUACAACAGAUGAACCAACAACAUUGACUACAACUGUUAUAACUACGACCAUGACCAGUGAGCCAACUACUACCCCUGAAUUAACUACCACUACUGAAUUAACAUCAACUACUACUGCACAAACUACAAUACCUGAACAAACUACUACUACUUAUACAACAACUACACCUGAACCAACUACUACUACGGAUGAACCAACAACAUUGACUACAACUGUUAUAACUACGACCAUGACCAGUGAGCCAACUACUACCCCUGAAUUAACUACCACUACUGAAUUAACAUCAACUACUACUGCACAAACUACAACACCCGAACAAACUCCAUCCACUACCAUGGUGCCAACAAUUACUUCACCUGAACCAACUACUACUACCAGUGAUCCAACUACUACCCCUGAAAUAACUACCACAACACCUGAACAAACUACCACUACUUAUUCAACAACUACACCUGAACCAACUACUACUACUGAUGAACCAAAAACAUUGACUACAACUGUUAGAACUACAACCACUACCAGUGAGCCAACUUCUACACCUGAAUUAACUACCACUACUGAAUUAACAUCAACUACUACUGCACAAACUACAACACCCAAACAAACUACAUCCACUACCAAGGUGCCAACAACCACUUCACCUGAACCAACUACUACUACUACCAGUGAGCCAACUACUACCCCUGAAAUAACUACCACAACACCUGAACAAACUACCACUACUUAUACAACAACUACCCCUGAAUCAACUCCUACUACUAAUGAACCAACAACAUUGACUAAAACUGUUAGAACUACGACCACUGCCAGUGAGCCAACUACUACCCCUGAAUUAACUACCACUACUGAAAUAACAUCAACUACUACUGCACAAACUACAACACCCAAACAAACUACAUCCACUACCAAGGUGCCAACAACCACUUCACCUGAACCAACUACUACUACUACCAGUGAGCCAACUACUACCCCUGAAUUAACUACCACUACUGAAUUAACAUCAACUACUACUGCACAAACUACAACACCCGAACAAACUCCAUCCACUACCAUGGUGCCAACAAUUACUUCACCUGAACCAACUACUACUACCAGUGAUCCAACUACUACCCCUGAAAUAACUACCACAACACCUGAACAAACUACCACUACUUAUACAACAACUACCCCUGAACUAACUACUACUACUAAUGAACCAACAACAUUGACGACAACUGUUAGAACUACAACCACUACCAGUAAGCCAAUUACUACACCUGAAAUAACUACCACAACACCUGAACAAACUACCACUACUUAUUCAACAACUACACCUGAACCAACUACUAAUACUGAUGAACCAAAAACAUUGACUACAACUGUUAGAACUACAACCACUACCAGUGAGCCAACCACUACACCUGAAUUAACUACCACUACUGAAUUAACAUCAACUACUACUGCACAAACUACAACACCCGAACAAACUACAUCCACUACCAUGGUGCCAACAACCACUUCACCUGAACCAACUACUACCACUACCAGUGAGCCAACUACUACCCCUGAAAUAACUACCACAACUCCCGAACAAACUACCACUACUUAUUCAACAACUACACCUGAACCAACUACUACUACUGAUGAACCAACAACAUUGACAACAACUGUUAGAACUACAACCACUACCAGUGAGCCAACUACUACACCUGAAUUAACUACCACUACUGAAUUAACAUCAACUACUACUGCACAAACUACAACACCCGAACAAACUACAUCCACAACCAUGGUGCCAACAACCACUUCACCUGAACCAACUACUACCACUACCAGUGAUCCAACUACUACCCCCGAAAUAACUACCACAACACCUGAACAAAAUACCACUACUUAUACAACAACUACACCUGAACCAACUCCUACUACUAAUGAACCAACAACAUUGACUACAACUGUUAGAACUACAACCACUACCAGUGAGCCAACUACUACACCUGAAAUAACUACCACAACACCUGAACAAACUACCACUACUUAUUCAACAACUACACCUGAACCAACUACUAAUACUGAUGAACCAAAAACAUUGACUACAACUGUUAGAACUACAACCACUACCAGUGAGCCAACCACUACACCUGAAUUAACUACCACUACUGAAUUAACAUCAACUACUACUGCACAAACUACAACACCCGAACAAACUACAUCCACUACCAUGGUGCCAACAGCCACUUCACCUGAACCAACUACUACCACUACCAGUGAUCCAACUACUACCCCCGAAAUAACUACCACAACACCUGAACAAACUACCACUACUUAUACAACAACUACCCCUGAACCAACUCCUACUACUAAUGAACCAACAACAUUGACUACAACUGUUAGAACUACGACCACUACCAAUGAGCCAACUACUACCCCUGAAUUAACUACCACUACUGAAUUAACAUCAACUACUACUGCACAAACUACAACACCCAAACAAACUACAUCCACUACCAUGGUGCCAACAACCACUUCACCUGAACCAACUACUACUACUACCAGUGAGCCAACUACUACCCCUGAAAUAACUACCACAACACCUGAACAAACUACCACUACUUAUUCAACAACUACACCUGAACCAACUACUACUACUGAUGAACCAAAAACAUUGACUACAACUGUUAGAACUACAACCACUACCAGUGAGCCAACUACUACACCUGAAACAACUACCACAACACCUGAACAAACUACCACUACUUAUUCAACAACUACAACUGAACCAACUACUACUACUGAUGAACCAAAAACAUUGACUACAACUGUUAGAACUACAACCACUACCAGUGAGUCGACUACUACACCUGAAUUAACUACCACUACUGAAUUAACAUCAACUACUACUGCACAAACUACAACACCCGAACAAACUACAUCCACUACCAUGGUGCCAACAACCACUUCACCUGAACCAACUACUACCACUACCAGUGAUCCAACUACUACCCCUGAAAUAACUACCACAACACCUGAACAAACUACCAUUACUUAUACAACAACUACCCCUGAACUAACUACUACUACUAAUGAACCAACAACAUUGACUACAACUGUUAGAACUACAACCACUACCAGUGAGCCAACUACUACACCUGAAAUAACUACCACAAAACCUGAACAAACUACCACUACUUAUUCAACAACUACACCUGAACCAACUACUAAUACUGAUGAACCAAAAACAUUGACUACAACUGUUAGAACUACAACCACUACCAGUGAGCCAACUAUUACACCUGAAUUAACUACCACUACUGAAUUAACAUCAACUACUACUGCACAAACUACAACACCCGAACAAACUACAUCCACUACCAUGGUGCCAACAACCACUUCACCUGAACCAACUACUACCACUACCAGUGAUCCAACUACUACCCCUGAAAUAACUACCACAACUCCUGAACAAACUACCACUACUUAUUCAACAACUACACCUGAACCAACUACUACUACUGAUGAACCAACAACAUUGACAACAACUGUUAGAACUACAACCACUACCAGUGAGCCAACCACUACACCUGAAUUAACUACCACUACUGAAUUAACAUCAACUACUACUGCACAAACUACAACACCCGAACAAACUACAUCCACUACCAUGGUGCCAACAGCCACUUCACCUGAACCAACUACUACCACUACCAGUGAUCCAACUACUACCCCCGAAAUAACUACCACAACACCUGAACAAACUACCACUACUUAUACAACAACUACCCCUGAACCAACUCCUACUACUAAUGAACCAACAACAUUGACAACAACUGUUAGAACUACAACCACUACCAAUGAGCCAACUACUACCCCUGAAUUAACUACCACUACUGAAUUAACAUCAACUACUACUGCACAAACUACAACACCCGAACAAACUCCAUCCACAAUCAUGGUGCCAACAAAUACUUCACCUGAACCAACUACUACUACCAGUGAUCCAACUACUACCCCUGAAAUAACUACCACAACAUCUGAACAAACUACCACUACGUAUACAACAACUACCCCUGAACUAACUACUACUACUAAUGAACCAACAACAUUGACUACAACUGUUAGAACUACAACCACUACCAGUGAGCCAACUACUACACCUGAAAUAACUACCACAACACCUGAACAAACUACCACUACUUAUACAACAACUACCCCUGAACCAACUCCUACUACUAAUGAACCAACAACAUUGACUACAACUGUUAGAACUACGACCACUACCAAUGAGCCAACUACUACCCCUGAAUUAACUACCACUACUGAAUUAACAUCAACUACUACUGCACAAACUACAACACCCAAACAAACUACAUCCACUACCAUGGUGCCAACAACCACUUCACCUGAACCAACUACUACUACUACCAGUGAGCCAACUACUACCCCUGAAAUAACUACCACAACACCUGAACAAACUACCACUACUUAUUCAACAACUACACCUCAACCAACUACUACUACUGAUGAACCAAAAACAUUGACUACAACUGUUAGAACUACGACCACUACCAAUGAGCCAACUACUACCCCCAAAUUAACUACCACUACUGAAUUAACAUCAACUACUACUGCACAAACUACAACACCCGAACAAACUCCAUCCACUACCAUGGUGCCAACAAAUACUUCACCUGAACCAACUACUACUACCAGUGAUCCAACUACUACCCCUGAAAUAACUACCACAACAUCUGAACAAACUACCACUACGUAUACAACAACUACCCCUGAGCUAACUACUACUACUAAUGAACCAACAACAUUGACUACAACUUUUAGAACUACAACCACUAUCAGUGAGCCAACUACUACACCUGAACCAACUACUACUACUGAUGAACCAAAAACAUUGACUACAACUGUUAGAACUACAACCACUACCAGUGAGUCGACUACUACACCUGAAUUAACUACCACUACUGAAUUAACAUCAACUACUACUGCACAAACUACAACACCCGAACAAACUACAUCCACUACCAUGGUGCCAACAACCACUUCACCUGAACCAACUACUACCACUACCAGUGAUCCAACUAAUACCCCUGAAAUAACUACCACAACACCUGAACAAACUACCAUUACUUAUACAACAACUACCCCUGAACUAACUACUACUACUAAUGAACCAACAACAUUGACUACAACUGUUAGAACUACAACCACUACCAGUGAGCCAACUACUACACCUGAAAUAACUACCACAACACCUGAACAAACUACCACUACUUAUUCAACAACUACACCUAAACCAACUACUAA